Molecule: ribosomal RNA, 428 nt
Filed under: uncultured bacterium
Lineage: Bacteria
Description: partial 16S ribosomal RNA
Rfam family: Bacterial small subunit ribosomal RNA
Source: RNAcentral
GUAGGGAAUAUUGCGCAAUGGACGAAAGUCUGACGCAGCGACGCCGCGUGAGUGAUGAAGGCCUUAGGGUCGUAAAGCUCUGUUGAAUGGGAAGAAAAAAAUGACGGUACCAUUCGAGGGAGGACCGGCUAACUUCGUGCCAGCAGCCGCGGUAAUACGAGGGGUCCUAGCGUUGUUCGGAAUCAUUGGGCGUAAAGGGUGUGUAGGUGGCCAUGUAUGUCAGGUGUGAAAGCCCCGGGCUCAACCCGGGAAGUGCACUUGAUACUGCGUGGCUUGAGUACCGAAGAGGGUAGUGGAAUUCCAGGUGUAGUGGUGAAAUACGUAGAUAUCUGGAGGAACACCGGUGGCGAAGGCGGCUACCUGGUCGAGUACUGACACUGAGACACGAAAGCAUGGGGAUCAAACAGGAUUAGAUACCCUAGUAGUCC